RNAcentral lists this RNase P RNA (399 nucleotides) under Marinilabiliales bacterium. RNAcentral describes it as "RNase P RNA component class A". It matches the Rfam family "Bacterial RNase P class A". Rfam says of the family: Ribonuclease P (RNase P) is a ubiquitous endoribonuclease, found in archaea, bacteria and eukarya as well as chloroplasts and mitochondria. Lineage: Bacteria; Pseudomonadati; Bacteroidota; Bacteroidia; Marinilabiliales. The record is from RNAcentral.
UCAACAAGCCGGCUUGUCGCUCCCGCAUGGGGGAGGAAAGUCGGGACAACACAGAGCACCAUACUUCCUAACGGGAAGGCACCAAUUUUUUGGUGACAGAAAGUGCCGCAGAAAAUAACUACCGAUGUCGGGGUAAAGGCAAGCCUGCCUCCGCUUUUGCUCCGGCAGGUAAAGGUGAAAACGUGGGGUAAGAGCCCACGCGAUAUGAUGGCGACAUUGUAUUGGGGUAAACCUUAUGGGUUGCAAGGUCAAAUAUGCCGGUGCUUGAGGGCUGCUCGUCCGAUACCGGUGGGUAGACUGCUAGAGUUAUACAGCGAUGUAUAACCCAGAUAAAUGACAGGCACUUCACUGAUCGAUUUCGGUGGAGAACAGAAUCCCGCUUACAGGCUUGUUGAACGU